This is a long non-coding RNA of Malus domestica (apple), 427 nucleotides long. RefSeq lists it as uncharacterized. NCBI's taxonomy places the organism in Eukaryota, Viridiplantae, Streptophyta, Magnoliopsida, Rosales, Rosaceae. The record is from RefSeq and is a predicted model, not a curated record.
CUAAAGCUCAAUAUAAGUACAGUUCUAUGAACACAAAAUAACACAUGAUACUUUCAUUGGAAGAUCUGGAUCAAGUUGGCAAGAGUUAGGGAUGACAAGUACUAUCACAUCAAGGGUGAUAACAGAGAUGGUGAGCCAAUCAGGAUGAGCUACCCUAGGAACAGGAUUUGCAACCUGAAGAAAAUUCAAUUGAUUCAAGUACAGCUACCAGAGGGAGAGAGAGAGGGAGAGAGAGAAGUUCACAAGCAAUACCUUUUGCAUUGCAGCCGGAAUGGUGACAAUUUUCUGAAUUGCUGAACCAAGGCGUUGCUUGUAAUAGGACCAGUCAAUAAUGGAACGAAUGCCAACAUCUGAUGAAACCUUGCACCACUUCCUUACAUAAAACUUCAUAAUUUCUGAUAAGUUGAAAUACAAUAUCUCUUUAGAA